Molecule: ribosomal RNA, 482 nt
Filed under: uncultured bacterium
Lineage: Bacteria
Description: partial 16S ribosomal RNA
Rfam family: Bacterial small subunit ribosomal RNA
Source: RNAcentral
AUUGAACGCUGGCGGCAUGCCUUACACAUGCAAGUCGAACGGUAACAGGUCUUCGGAUGCUGACGAGUGGCGCACGGGUGAGUAAUACAUCGGAACGUGCCCGAUCGUGGGGGAUAACGAGGCGAAAGCUUUGCUAAUACCGCAUACGAUCUACGGAUGAAAGCGGGGGAUCUUCGGACCUCGCGCGGACGGAGCGGCCGAUGGCAGAUUAGGUAGUUGGUGGGAUAAAAGCUUACCAAGCCGACGAUCUGUAGCUGGUCUGAGAGGAUGAUCAGCCACACUGGGACUGAGACACGGCCCAGACUCCUACGGGAGGCAGCAGUGGGGAAUUUUGGACAAUAGGCGAAAGCCUGAUCCAGCCAUGCCGCGUGCAGGAUGAAGGCCUUCGGGUUGUAAACUGCUUUUGUACGGAACGAAAAGCCUCUUUCUAAUAAAGAGGGGUCAUGACGGUACCGUAAGAAUAAGCACCGGCUAACUACGUG